CGUACCAGGACGCUCGUCUGCC
This 22-nucleotide microRNA is filed under the name Branchiostoma lanceolatum (amphioxus). Its description in RNAcentral is "Bla-Mir-4891_3p (mature (guide))". The record is from RNAcentral. Lineage: Eukaryota; Metazoa; Chordata; Leptocardii; Amphioxiformes; Branchiostomatidae.